GGUGACUGAAAACAUGUUCCCAGGGAACCUCCAGAAAACAUGGAGAGAGCACUGGGAUUUCCACAUUUUAAGAAGCAGUUUCAGACUCCAGUCAAACACAGUUCUGUAUUGAAUAAGAUUCUGCAUCAAUAAGGAGAAGUGUCACAGGAGGCCUCAUGAGACACCAGAUGACCAAUUACAGAAGAAUCAUCAGAAACAGAACAAGAAAGACUGAG
Molecule: long non-coding RNA, 215 nt
Organism: Pongo pygmaeus (Bornean orangutan)
Lineage: Eukaryota; Metazoa; Chordata; Mammalia; Primates; Hominidae
Exons: 3
Source: RefSeq, a predicted model, not a curated record